Heterocephalus glaber (naked mole-rat) is the source of this 462-nucleotide long non-coding RNA. RefSeq lists it as uncharacterized. Lineage: Eukaryota; Metazoa; Chordata; Mammalia; Rodentia; Bathyergidae. The record is from RefSeq and is a predicted model, not a curated record.
UUCCGAAAGGAAUACUGGGAGCAUGAAUGUGGCAGCUGUAGGAAUGUUGAAUUUGGAGGGGACAGAUCAGCAAAGAAGUUACCGCUAUGACAAGGACAGUGACCAGCCCUUACCUGGCUGUGUGAGGCGCUGAUGCUGACUACUGACACCCCAUGAAACAGCUGUCCACAGAAAGAUCCAGCAGAAUCUGUACUGGCUGAUUACACUGCGCCCUUACCCCUUCCUGGAGGAGCCCGGGCCUCUCUCCACUUACCCAGGGGACCCUACAGGAUGUCGUAUGUUGCAGAAAACCCACUGCAUCGCCAGCCCCUAAAGAAGAAAUUGAAAAUGCGUGUGCAGCAGUCUCCAUGGCCAAGGUCACCCAGGCAGCAGGACCAGUAAAGGUCUGGAGCCCGUGGGCUCCAGUCUUGCCAUUGUGGAGGCCAGAGGUAACUGGUAUGAAUCUCAUAACGUCUCCGCAAA